Molecule: ribosomal RNA, 468 nt
Filed under: uncultured bacterium
Lineage: Bacteria
Description: partial 16S ribosomal RNA
Rfam family: Bacterial small subunit ribosomal RNA
Source: RNAcentral
GACGAACGCUGGCGGCGUGCUUAACACAUGCAAGUCGAACGGAAAGGCCCUGCUUUUGUGGGGUGCUCGAGUGGCGAACGGGUGAGUAACACGUGAGUAACCUGCCCUUGACUUUGGGAUAACUUCAGGAAACUGGGGCUAAUACCGGAUAGGAGCUCCUGCUGCAUGGUGGGGGUUGGAAAGUUUCGGCGGUUGGGGAUGGACUCGCGGCUUAUCAGCUUGUUGGUGGGGUAGUGGCUUACCAAGGCUUUGACGGGUAGCCGGCCUGAGAGGGUGACCGGCCACAUUGGGCCUGAGGUACGGCCCAGACUCCUACGGGAGGCAGCAGUGGGGAGUAUUGCACAAUGGGCGGAAGCCUGAUGCAGCAGCGCCGCGUGCGGGAUGACGGCCUUCGGGUUGUAAACCGCUUUCGCCUGUGACGAAGCGUGAGUGACGGUAAUGGGUAAAGAAGCACCGGCUAACUACGUG